This 402-nucleotide ribosomal RNA is filed under the name uncultured Bryobacter sp. RNAcentral's name for it is "bacterial SSU rRNA". It matches the Rfam family "Bacterial small subunit ribosomal RNA", at positions 355 to 774 of the family's 1533-position model. The record is from RNAcentral. Lineage: Bacteria; Pseudomonadati; Acidobacteriota; Terriglobia; Bryobacterales; Bryobacteraceae.
UGGGGAAUCUUGCACAAUGGAGGAAACUCUGAUGCAGCGACGCCGCGUGAGUGAUGAAGCCCUUCGGGGUGUAAAGCUCUUUCGGCAGGGACGAUAAUGACGGUACCUGAAGAAGAAGCUGCGGCUAACUACGUGCCAGCAGCCGCGGUAAUACGUAGGCAGCGAGCGUUGUUCGGAGUUACUGGGCGUAAAGCGUGCGUAGGCGGUGUCUUAAGUUUGUUGUGAAAUCUCCCGGCUUAACCGGGAGGGUGCGGCGAAUACUGAGAUGCUGGAGUGCCGGAGAGGUAAGCGGAAUUCCUGGUGUAGCGGUGAAAUGCGUAGAUAUCAGGAGGAACACCUGCGGUGUAGACGGCUUACUGGACGGUAACUGACGCUGAGGCACGAAAGCGUGGGUAGCAAACA